AUGAAGAAAGGGACUACGCCGAGCCAUGAAAACAUUCUCCCACCUGAUAUUCCUGCUACAUGGGAAGCGAUGGAGAAGCUAUACGACUCUGGCAAAGCUCGAGCAAUUGGUGUGAGUAGCUUCUCUUGCAAGAAGAUUGAGGAUUUGCUUGCCAUUGCACGUGUGCCUCCAGCAGUCAACCAGGUUGAAUGUCAUCUGAUUUGGCAGCAAGACAAGCUCCAAAAACUAUGCCAUUCGAGGGGUGUUCAUCUUUCUGCAUUUUCGCCAUUAGGUUCGCCUGGAUCAUCUCUACCUGGGGUCAGUGGGGCUAUCGUCCUUAGCAAUCCUAUUGUCAUCUCUGUUGCUGAGAAGUUGCAGAAAACGCCUGCUCAGGUUGCCUUACGCUGGUGUCUUCAAAUGGGUCAGAGUGUACUUCCAAAAAGCACCAAUGAAGCAAGGAUUAAGGAGAACUUUGACAUAUUUGAGUGGUCCAUUCCUGAAGAUUUAAUGGCAAAGUUCUCCGAAAUCAAACAGGCAAGGUUGAUGAAAGGGGAAUUUGCGGUUCACCCUCUAAGCGUUUACAAAACCUUGGAGGACCUUUGGGAUGGCGAAAUUUAA
RNAcentral lists this ribosomal RNA (597 nucleotides) under Triticum aestivum (bread wheat). Its description in RNAcentral is "partial small subunit ribosomal RNA". The record is from RNAcentral. Lineage: Eukaryota; Viridiplantae; Streptophyta; Magnoliopsida; Poales; Poaceae.